UGCGUAGGCGGUUGAAUAAGUAGGAUGUGAAAUGCCAUGGCCUAACCAUGGCACUGCGUUCUAAACUGUUUAACUUGAGUAAGAUAGGGGUGUGUGGAACUUCCAGUGGAGCGGUGAAAUGCGUUGAGAUUGGAAGGAACGCCGUUGGCGAAAGCGGCACACUGGGUCUUAACUGACGCUGAGGCACGAAAGCCAGGGGAGCGAACG
RNAcentral lists this ribosomal RNA (207 nucleotides) under uncultured bacterium. Its description in RNAcentral is "partial 16S ribosomal RNA". It matches the Rfam family "Bacterial small subunit ribosomal RNA", at positions 568 to 774 of the family's 1533-position model. The record is from RNAcentral.